Molecule: unclassified non-coding RNA, 248 nt
Filed under: uncultured Pluteus
Lineage: Eukaryota; Fungi; Basidiomycota; Agaricomycetes; Agaricales; Pluteaceae
Description: sequence contains ITS1
Source: RNAcentral
GUGAAUAAACUCGCGUGGGUUGUUGCUGACCUCCUCGGAGGUAUGUGCACACCCGCCAUUGUUUCAUUCAAUCCAUUCCCACCUGUGCACUGUCUGUAGGCCAAACCAUCAAUCUUUCAGGUCCUUCCCAGGGCCUGGUGUGAGGAACUGCUCCGGCUUUCCUUGGAUGGGUGUGGACUAUGUUUUUAUCAACACUGCAUGUAAUUGAAUGUCUGUUCUGGGCUCUAUAUGACCCAUAAAACCUUAUA